This 498-nucleotide ribosomal RNA is filed under the name uncultured bacterium. Its description in RNAcentral is "bacterial SSU rRNA". It matches the Rfam family "Bacterial small subunit ribosomal RNA", at positions 9 to 503 of the family's 1533-position model. The record is from RNAcentral.
GAGUUUGAUCUUGGCUCAGAUUGAACGCUGGCGGCAGGCCUAACACAUGCAAGUCGAGCGGUAGAGAGAAGCUUGCUUCUCUUGAGAGCGGCGGACGGGUGAGUAAUGCCUAGGAAUCUGCCUGGUAGUGGGGGAUAACGCUCGGAAACGGACGCUAAUACCGCAUACGUCCUACGGGAGAAAGCAGGGGACCUUCGGGCCUUGCGCUAUCAGAUGAGCCUAGGUCGGAUUAGCUAGUUGGUGAGGUAAUGGCUCACCAAGGCGACGAUCCGUAACUGGUCUGAGAGGAUGAUCAGUCACACUGGAACUGAGACACGGUCCAGACUCUACGGAGGCAGCAGUGGGGAAUAUUGGACAAUGGGCGAAAGCCUGAUCCAGCCAUGCCGCGUGUGUGAAGAAGGUCUUCGGAUUGUAAAGCACUUUAAGUUGGGAGGAAGGGCAGUAAAUUAAUAACUUUGCUGUUUUGACGUUACCGACAGAAUAAGCACCGGCUAACUC